Molecule: ribosomal RNA, 119 nt
Filed under: Helianthus annuus (common sunflower)
Lineage: Eukaryota; Viridiplantae; Streptophyta; Magnoliopsida; Asterales; Asteraceae
Source: RNAcentral
GGUUGCGAUAUACCAGCACUAAUGCACCGGAUCCCAUCAGAACUCCGCAGUUAAGCGUGCUUGGGCGAGAGUAGUACUAGGAUGGGUGACCCCCUGGGAAGUCCUCGUGUUGCAACCCC